GGGAUAAGCGCUGGAAACGGCGUCUAAUACCGGAUACGAGCUGCGAAGGCAUCUUCAGCAGCUGGAAAGAACUUCGGUCAGGGAUGAGCUCGCGGCCUAUCAGCUAGUUGGUGAGGUAACGGCUCACCAAGGCGUCGACGGGUAGCCGGCCUGAGAGGGUGACCGGCCACACUGGGACUGAGACACGGCCCAGACUCCUACGGGAGGCAGCAGUGGGGAAUAUUGCACAAUGGGCGCAAGCCUGAUGCAGCAACGCCGCGUGAGGGACGACGGCCUUCGGGUUGUAAACCUCUUUUAGCAGGGAAGAAGCGAAAGUGACGGUACCUGCAGAAAAAGCACCGGCUAACUACGUGCCAGCAGCCGCGGUAAUACGUAGGGUGCAAGCGUUAUCCGGAAUUAUUGGGCGUAAAGAGCUCGUAGGCGGUUUGUCGCGUCUGCUGUGAAAACCCGAGGCUCAACCUCGGGCCUGCAGUGGGUACGGGCAGACUAGAGUGCGGUAGGGGAGAUUGGAAUUCCUGGUGUAGCGGUGGAAUGCGCAGAUAUCAGGAGGAACACCGAUGGCGAAGGCAGAUCUCUGGGCCGUAACUGACGCUGAGGAGC
This 600-nucleotide ribosomal RNA is filed under the name Microbacterium sp. Its description in RNAcentral is "bacterial SSU rRNA". It matches the Rfam family "Bacterial small subunit ribosomal RNA", at positions 140 to 754 of the family's 1533-position model. The record is from RNAcentral. Lineage: Bacteria; Bacillati; Actinomycetota; Actinomycetes; Micrococcales; Microbacteriaceae.